This is a non-coding RNA of Myodes glareolus (Bank vole), 834 nucleotides long. The record is from RefSeq and is a predicted model, not a curated record. NCBI's taxonomy places the organism in Eukaryota, Metazoa, Chordata, Mammalia, Rodentia, Cricetidae.
UCUCCUCCAUGCCUUCUGCCAUGAUGUUACAUUUUGUUACUUUGGCUCAGGCUCACAGCAACAGAGCAAGCGUACCAUGGACUGAAAACUGUGGAACAGUGAACCAAGACGAAUCUUUCUUCCAACUGAAAAAAUAACACUUUUUGGGGCUAAAGACACAGCUCAGCAAUUAAGAGCAUAGAUGCUUUUCCAGACAACCCAGAUUUUAUUCCAGCAUCCACAUGGCAUCUCUCGAUCAUCUGUAACUCCAGUUCCAGAGGAUCUAACACCUUCUUCUGACCUCCUUGGAAUCCUGAAUACAUGUGGUGCAAAGAUAUACACUCAGGAGCUCAAACCCAGGGCCUUACACAAGCUUUACCAUUGUGUUGCACUUCCAGACUGAGAACUUCUAAUUGUGGACAUGCUAGAGUACUUUCCAGCGGUCUGACACUGAGAAGGUUAUAGGAUUGUUUUUCUCUUCUCUGGAUCUGUGAGGGUGCUGACACAGGAUUUUGCCGUAUAACUCAGGCUGAUCUUGAACUCCUGCAAUUUUACCUCAACCUCCUAGGUUUGAGACACCUGUCUGACAGGCACUGGGUUUUUUGUUGUUUUGUUAUGAAGUUCAGGGUUCCCUCAAACUGGUUUUGUAGCCAAGGACGACCUUGAACUCCUUCUCGAACCUCCACCUCCCAAGAGUUAGGAUUUCAAGUGUUCAUCACCAAGCCUGUUCAGGAUAUUAUCUUUUGAACUGAGGGCACUGCAUAACGACACUGUGAACAAGAUUUAAAGUGCUACUCCCCAAAGGCAGAAGGAAAAGAUAGAAACAGUAUUUGUACAGACACUGGUUGAGAAUUU